Molecule: ribosomal RNA, 479 nt
Filed under: uncultured Bifidobacterium sp.
Lineage: Bacteria; Bacillati; Actinomycetota; Actinomycetes; Bifidobacteriales; Bifidobacteriaceae
Description: partial 16S ribosomal RNA
Source: RNAcentral
UUCCAGUCUCCCCUACCGCACUCAAGCCCGCCCGUACCCGGCGCGGAUCCACCGUUAAGCGAUGGACUUUCACACCGGACGCGACGAACCGCCUACGAGCCCUUUACGCCCAAUAAUUCCGGAUAACGCUUGCACCCUACGUAUUACCGCGGCUGCUGGCACGUAGUUAGCCGGUGCUUAUUCGAAAGGUACACUCACCCCGAAGGGCUUGCUCCCAGUCAAAAGCGGUUUACAACCCGAAGGCCGUCAUCCCGCACGCGGCGUCGCUGCAUCAGGCUUGCGCCCAUUGUGCAAUAUUCCCCACUGCUGCCUCCCGUAGGAGUCUGGGCCGUAUCUCAGUCCCAAUGUGGCCGGUCGCCCUCUCAGGCCGGCUACCCGUCGAAGCCAUGGUGGGCCGUUACCCCGCCAUCAAGCUGAUAGGACGCGACCCCAUCCCAUACCGAUGAAUCUUUCCCAGAAGGACAUGCAUCCAACUGGAG